Molecule: non-coding RNA, 73 nt
Organism: Danio rerio (zebrafish)
Lineage: Eukaryota; Metazoa; Chordata; Actinopteri; Cypriniformes; Danionidae
Source: Rfam
UCCAAGUAAAGUUCUGUGAUACACUCCGACUCUGAAUGUUUGCAGUCAGUGCAUUACAGAACUUUGUUUUGGG